This is an unclassified non-coding RNA of Dipodomys ordii (Ord's kangaroo rat), 338 nucleotides long. Its record names the gene 7SK. It matches the Rfam family "7SK RNA". Rfam says of the family: 7SK was discovered as an abundant small nuclear RNA in the mid-70s but a possible function has only recently been suggested. Lineage: Eukaryota; Metazoa; Chordata; Mammalia; Rodentia; Heteromyidae. The record is from Ensembl.
AGAUGUGAGGGCGAUCUGGCCGCGACAUCUGUCACCCCAUUGAUUGCCAGGGUUGAUUCGGCUUAUCUGGCUGGCUAGGCGGGUGUCCCCUUCCUCCCUCAUGGCUCCAUGUGCGUCCCUCCCAAAGCUACGCGCUCGGUCAAAGAGGACGACCAUCCCCGAUAGAGGAGGACCGGUCCUAGGUCAAGGGUAUACGAGUAGCUGUGCUCCCCUGCUAGAACCUCCAAACAAGCUCUCAAGAAAUGAACUCAUUUUCUUGCCCGUGUAAUUGUAACCUCUCUAUACAGUAUUUUCACAAUUAAAAAAAAAAAGUUCUAAGGAGCAAGCCUUUUUGAUCU